UUCACCUUGCUGCCAGGGCUAUGUCUG
RNAcentral lists this non-coding RNA (27 nucleotides) under Mus musculus (house mouse). The record is from RNAcentral. Lineage: Eukaryota; Metazoa; Chordata; Mammalia; Rodentia; Muridae.